AGUUGGCGGUGUAACGGACCACCAAGACGACGAUGCGUAGGGGUUCUGAGAGGAAGGUCCCCCACACUGGUACUGAGACACGGACCAGACUCCUACGGGAGGCAGCAGUGAGGAAUAUUGGUCAAUGGGCGGGAGCCUGAACCAGCCAAGUCGCGUGAGGGAUGACGGCCCUAUGGGUUGUAAACCUCUUUUGCCGGGGAGCAAAGUGCCGCACGUGUGCGGUUUGGAGAGUACCCGGAGAAAAAGCAUCGGCUAACUCCGUGCCAGCAGCCGCGGUAAUACGGAGGAUGCGAGCGUUAUCCGGAUUUAUUGGGUUUAAAGGGUGCGUAGGCGGACGCUUAAGUCAGCGGUAAAAUUGCGGGGCUCAACCUCGUCGAGCCGUUGAAACUGGGUGCCUUGAGUGGGCGAGAAGUACGCGGAAUGCGUGGUGUAGCGGUGAAAUGCAUAGAUAUCACGCAGAACUCCGAUUGCGAAGGCAGCGUACCGGCGCCCAACUGACGCUGAAGCACGAAGGCGUGGGUAUCGAACAGGAUUAGAUACCCUGGUAGUCCACGCAGUAAACGAUGAAUGCUAGUUGUCCGGGGCGAUUGAGUUCUGG
Molecule: ribosomal RNA, 598 nt
Filed under: uncultured bacterium
Lineage: Bacteria
Description: bacterial SSU rRNA
Rfam family: Bacterial small subunit ribosomal RNA
Source: RNAcentral